AAAAAAAAAAAAGUCUAAUCGUUUUUGGUUAAAAAAGAUAUUCAAAAUGUUUUCAAAAUGAACUCAUAUAAGUAUUCGAAUACUUUGAAGAAAGAGUCAAUAAAAAAAAAAAUAAAUUAAUAAAAUAACGGGACAUUCAAUACUCAUAAUGGUUAGAUAUCUUUUAGCUAAAGUUACACUUUUCACAUGCAUUUAUCUAUAUUUUUUGAGUAACUGUUGUUCCAUUCAUACAUGUUCAAUUUGAUUUAAGUCUGAAGACUAAAUGAAGGAAGAAGUUGUGAUAACUUCCGGACAGUUGUAUGAAAACCACAUGUGAACAUUUAGGGCUGCAUGUUUAGAAUCAUUAUCCUGAUAAAACAUGAAUGUAUUUUGCAUUCCAAUUUUCUUGCAGAUGCUUUCAAAUUUUCAUAAUAGUUAUAUACUGAUCUAUAUUUAUAAUUUAUAAUUUUCCACUAUAAAUGAUGCAAGAUUCUAGUAAAAUUGGCUGCCUUUGGUAUCUAGAAUACUUGAGAAUUGUGUAGCGACUAUUCAUUGACUUCUAAAAGUCUAGAGCGACAAGUCCAAAGUAGGGUUUAAAUAUCCUUUUAUUUAACUUGAGACCAUUUACAGUUGGCCAAUCCUGGGCUUACAUGAAGUCUCCACUUGGGCUUUAACUUAAGAUAGAAAAUAAGAAACUAAUGCUAACUAACUAAAAACUAGAAAAAGCUGUACAGAAAUAACUAACAGAGUUGGCCCUUAAUUAAACCUCACUGGCGAAUACUAACAGCCACGUAACAAUACGGCUGAACGUAAAGAAAAAAAAUUGACGUGGUCAUUAUUUUUCCCUGAGACUUCUUAUUAAAUACUGGUUCCACCUCGUUUAUAUAAAACGGGAUUUUGAAAAUUCAUUUUGGUAGGGAGUUGUAGGUGGGGAAAAAAAAAAAAAAAAAAAAAAAAAAAAAA
Stegodyphus dumicola is the source of this 942-nucleotide long non-coding RNA. The record is from RefSeq and is a predicted model, not a curated record. Lineage: Eukaryota; Metazoa; Arthropoda; Arachnida; Araneae; Eresidae.